UGAGUAUUACUUCAGGUACUGAGUCGGUCAGGGGUCAGUACCUUAUGUGAUAUUCUUA
RNAcentral lists this microRNA precursor (58 nucleotides) under Melibe leonina. RNAcentral's name for it is "microRNA mle-mir-12 precursor". Its record names the gene mle-mir-12. The record is from miRBase by way of RNAcentral. Lineage: Eukaryota; Metazoa; Mollusca; Gastropoda; Nudibranchia; Dendronotidae.